AUUGAACGCUGGCGGCAGGCCUAACACAUGCAAGUCGAACGGUAGCACAGAGAGCUUGCUCUCGGGUGACGAGUGGCGGACGGGUGAGUAAUGUCUGGGAAACUGCCUGAUGGAGGGGGAUAACUACUGGAAACGGUAGCUAAUACCGCAUAACGUCGCAAGACCAAAGAGGGGGACCUUCGGGCCUCUUGCCAUCAGAUGUGCCCAGAUGGGAUUAGCGAGUAGGUGGGGUAACGGCUCACCUAGGCGACGAUCCCUAGCUGGUCUGAGAGGAUGACCGUCCACACUGAGACGGAGACACGGUCCAUACGCCUAAGGGAGGCAGCAGUGGUGAAUAUUGCGCAAUGGGCGCAAGCCUGAUGCAGCCAUGCCGCGUGUAUGAAGAAGGCCGUCGGGAUGUAAAGUACUUUCAGCGGGGAGGAAGGGAGUAAAGUUAAUACCUUUACUCAUUGACGUUACCCGCAGAAGAAGCACCGGCUAACUCCGUGCCAGCAGCCGCAGUAA
RNAcentral lists this ribosomal RNA (504 nucleotides) under uncultured bacterium. RNAcentral's name for it is "partial 16S ribosomal RNA". It matches the Rfam family "Bacterial small subunit ribosomal RNA", at positions 30 to 523 of the family's 1533-position model. The record is from RNAcentral.